UGGGGAGUAUUGGACAAUGGGCGCAAGCCUGAUCCAGCCAUGCCGCGUGAAUGAUGAAGGCCUUAGGGUUGUAAAAUUCUUUCACCGGGGACGAUAAUGACGGUACCCGGAGAAGAAGCCCCGGCUAACUUCGUGCCAGCAGCCGCGGUAAUACGAAGGGGGCUAGCGUUGUUCGGAAUUACUGGGCGUAAAGCGCACGUAGGCGGAUCGAUUAGUUGGUGGUGAAAGCCCAGGGCUCAACCUUGGAACUGCCAUCAAUACUGUCGAUCUGGAGCAUAGUAGAGGUUAGUGGAAUUCCAAGUGUAGAGGUGAAAUUCGUAGAUAUUUGGAGGAACACCAGUGGCGAAGGCGACUGACUGGGCUAUUGCUGACGCUGAGGUGCGAAAGCGUGGGGAGCAAACA
Molecule: ribosomal RNA, 402 nt
Filed under: uncultured prokaryote
Description: bacterial SSU rRNA
Rfam family: Bacterial small subunit ribosomal RNA
Source: RNAcentral